CUUCCAUUGUUCUUCAUCACUUAGGUCAGAACAUGCAUCAUCAUCAUCAACCAGUGAAAAGCAACCUUGCUGAUUUAGGCACAGAAAGAAAAAGGGUUGAAUCACAACCCCUCUGUCCAAAGCCCAGAAAGCUCUCACCUUCCAUACCUGAAUUCCUCAGGCCAAUUAAGUGUAACAAACACAGUCAUUCAAAUGUCGAUAAUGGAA
This 207-nucleotide small RNA is filed under the name Vigna angularis var. angularis. RNAcentral describes it as "Non-protein coding transcript". The record is from RNAcentral. Lineage: Eukaryota; Viridiplantae; Streptophyta; Magnoliopsida; Fabales; Fabaceae.